CCUACGGGUGGCAGCAGUAGGGAAUCUUCCACAAUGGACGAAAGCCUGAUGGAGCAACGCAGCGUGAGUGAAGAAGGGUUUCGGCUCGUAAAGCUCUGUUGGUAGUGAAGAAAGAUAGAGGUAGUAACUGGCCUUUAUUUGACUGUAAUUACUUAGAAAGUCACGGCUAACUACGUGCCAGCCGCUGCGGUAAUACUUAGGUGGCAAGCGUUGUCCGGAUUUAUUGGGCGUAAAGCGAGUGCAGGCGUUUUAAUAAGUCUGAUGUGAAAGACUUCGGCUCAACCGGAGAAUUGCAUUAGAUACUGGUGAACUUGAGUGCAGAUGAGGAGAGUGGAACUCCAUGUGUAGCGGUGGAAUGCGUAGAUAUAUGGAAGAACACCAGUGGCGAAGGCGGCUCUCUAGUCUGCAACUGACGCGGAGGCUCGAAAGCAUGGGUAGCGAACAGGAUUAGAUACCCGAGUAGUC
This 465-nucleotide ribosomal RNA is filed under the name uncultured bacterium. Its description in RNAcentral is "partial 16S ribosomal RNA". It matches the Rfam family "Bacterial small subunit ribosomal RNA", at positions 338 to 795 of the family's 1533-position model. The record is from RNAcentral.